RNAcentral lists this ribosomal RNA (569 nucleotides) under Eulimnogammarus verrucosus. RNAcentral describes it as "SSU rRNA". It matches the Rfam family "Eukaryotic small subunit ribosomal RNA", at positions 47 to 532 of the family's 1831-position model. Lineage: Eukaryota; Metazoa; Arthropoda; Malacostraca; Amphipoda; Eulimnogammaridae. The record is from RNAcentral.
AGCCAUGCAUGUCUAAGUCCAAGCUGUGUUCACACGGCGAGACCGCGGACGGCUCAUUAAAUCAGUCGUGGUCCAAAUGGGCCAGUGCAAAUCCUACUUGGAUAACUGUGGUAAUUCCAGAGCUAAUACAUGCAACUGAUAUCCCGAAGGCGGUGUUGGGGCUUGCUUGCCUUGCGCUGCGCUGCUCUGACGGAUGCUUUUAUUAGACCAAGCCGCUGAGGACUUGAGGGUUCGCGCUCUCUUGUUUGACUCGUGUGAUGGUGACUCUGGAUAACCAAAUUCUGACAAGCGCACGUACUUCUCUUCUGAGCGAGACGGCGCUGCCACUUUCGAGUGUCUGCCUUAUCAGCUAUCAACCGUUCGUUAUGCGCGACCGAUGGCUUUGACGGGUAACGGGGAAUCAGGGUUCGAUUCCGGAGAGGCAGCCUGAGAGACGGCUACCACGUCCAAGGACGGCAGCAGGCACGCAAAUUACCCAAUCCCAGCAAAUGGGGGAGGUAGUGACGAAAUCUAACGAUGCGGGCGCCCUUUCUGGGGCCCCGCAAUCGGAAUGGGCACUUUCUAAACAA